This 740-nucleotide non-coding RNA is filed under the name Japanagallia malaisei. The record is from RNAcentral. Lineage: Eukaryota; Metazoa; Arthropoda; Insecta; Hemiptera; Cicadellidae.
AAUUAGUUUGAUUCUAGCUAUUUUAUUAGCUUAUAUGAAGAGUUAUAUGUAUAAUUAUAUAAAUUAUAAAGUUAAAUCAGUAAUAAGGAUUUAUUAAGUAAAAAGUUUUAUUUAAGAUAUUUUAUUAAAAUAGAUUAAUGUUGUGCCAGCAUUCGCGGUUAUACAAUUUAUUUAUGUUAAUAAUUUAGGUUUAAAAUAAAUUUUAAUAGUUUAGGUUAUUAUAAAAUUUAAAUUUAGGUGGAAUUUAUUUAAAAAAAAACAACUUUUUAAAAUUUUUUUUAAACCAUAGCAUUAAACUAGGAUUAGAUACCCUAUUAUUUUUGGCUUAUAUUUACAGGACAAUAGUAGUUAUUUACUAUGAAACUCAAAGAAUUUGGCGGUGAAUUAUACCUUUUUAGAGGAAUCUGAACUUUAAUCGAUAAACCACGAUAUGUUUUACCUCUUAUUUAUUUGUAUAUCUCUAUGUAAUAGAAUGUUUUAUUAAAGGAUAAUUUUCUUUUAUUUAUUUAAAUUAUUUUAGGUCAAGGUGCAGUUUUUAUGAAGGAUAGUUUGGGUUACUUUAGUUUUAUUUUUAAAUUAGUUAUUGUUUAUUUAUAAUAAUAUUAUUAAGGAUUUAAUAGUAAUUUUAAUUACUUAAUUAAUUUGAAUAAAGUUUUAAUUCAUGUACAUAUCGCCCGUCACUCCUAAUGGUAGGAUAAGUCGUAACAAAGUAAUUUUACCGGAAGGUGAGGUUAGAUAAG